AUUGAACGCUGGCGGCAGGCCUAACACAUGCAAGUCGAGCGGAGCGUCGGACGGGUGAGUAAUGCCUAGGAAUCUGCCUGGUAGUGGGGGAUAACGUCCGGAAAGAGGCCAUAAUACAUCAGACUAUCAGGGCGGCCUCGGUCGGAUUCGCUAGUUGGUGGGGCAAAGGCUCACCAAGGCGACGAUGCGUAGCUGGUCUGAGAGGAUGAUCAGUCACACUGGGACUGAGACACGGUCCAGACUCCUACGGGAGGCAGCAGUGGGGAAUAUUGGACAAUGGGCGAAAGUGUGAACCAGCAAUGCCGCGUGUGUGAAGAAGGUCUUCGGAUCGUAAAGCACUUUAAUUUGGGAGGCGUUACCAACAGAAUAAGCACCGGCUAACUACGUGCCAGCAGCCGCGGUAAUAC
This 407-nucleotide ribosomal RNA is filed under the name uncultured bacterium. RNAcentral's name for it is "partial 16S ribosomal RNA". It matches the Rfam family "Bacterial small subunit ribosomal RNA", at positions 30 to 526 of the family's 1533-position model. The record is from RNAcentral.